This 1019-nucleotide ribosomal RNA is filed under the name Pinus taeda (loblolly pine). RNAcentral's name for it is "bacterial SSU rRNA". It matches the Rfam family "Bacterial small subunit ribosomal RNA", at positions 8 to 1068 of the family's 1533-position model. The record is from RNAcentral. Lineage: Eukaryota; Viridiplantae; Streptophyta; Pinopsida; Pinales; Pinaceae.
AGAGUUUGAUCUUCGCUCCAAAUGAACAAUGGCGUCUUGUUUAACACAUGCAAGUCGGAUGGGAAGUGGUGUUUCUAGUGGCGAACAGGUGAGUAACGCGUAAGAACCUACCCUUGGGAGGGGAACAACGGCAGGAAACAACUGUGAAUACCCCAUAGGCUGAGGAGAAAAAGGGGGGAUCCGCCCAAGGAGGGGCUCGCGCCUCAUUAGUUAUUUGGUGAGGCAAUAGCUUACCAAGGUGAUGAUCAAUAGCUGGUCUGAGAGGAUGAUCAACCACACUGGGAUUGAGACACCCUCCACUCCUAUGGGAGGCAACAGUGGGGAAUUUUCUGCAAUGGGCGAAAGCCUGAUGGAGCAAUGGCGCAUGAAGGCAGAAGGCCCACAGGUCAUGAAAUUCUUCUCUCGGAGAAGAGAAAAUGAUGAUAUCUGAGGAAUAAGCAUCGACUAACUCUGUGCCAGCAGCCGUGGUAAGACAGAGGAUGCAAGUGUUAUCCGGAAUGAUUGGGCGUUAAAGCGUCUGUAGGUGGGCUUUCAAGUCCGCCGUCCAAAUCCCAGGGCCAAACCUUGGAUAGGUGGUGGAAACUACCAAGCUCGAGUACGGUAGGCGCAGAGGGAAUUUCUGGUGGAACGAUGAAAUGUGUUGAGAUUGAAAAAAACACCAACGUCGAAAGCACUCUGCUAGGCCGACACUGACACUGAGAGACAAAAGCUAGGGGAGAAAAUGGGAUUAGAUACCCCAGUAUUCCUAGCCGUAAAUGAUGGAUACUAAGUUUUGUGCAUAUAGACCCACGCAGUCUUGUAGCUAACAUGUUAAGUAUCCCACCUGGGGAGUACAUUCGCAAGAAUGAAACUCAAAGAAAUUGACAGGGGCCUGCACAAGCAGUGGAGCAUGUGGUUCAAUUUGAUGCAUAACAGAGAACCUUACUAGGGCUUGACAUGCCAUGAAUCCUCUUGAAAGAGAGGAGUGCCUUUGGGAACACGGACACAGGUGGUGCAUGGAUGUUGUCAGUUCAUGCCGU